Helianthus annuus (common sunflower) is the source of this 775-nucleotide long non-coding RNA. RefSeq lists it as uncharacterized. The record is from RefSeq and is a predicted model, not a curated record. Lineage: Eukaryota; Viridiplantae; Streptophyta; Magnoliopsida; Asterales; Asteraceae. The transcript is spliced from 2 exons.
UUGAAAAAAAAGUAUCUGAAUCUGAAUCAACCGGCUGUGGGUAUAUUAACUACUAUCAAAACUGAAAACCAGUAUUUAGAUUUUUUUAACAACUAUUGUAUUUUUGCCCAUUUUAUUUGCUAUAGCGUAAGACGAAAUCCGAAUCUACUCAUUCAUAAAUUUUUGGAUCGAAUGCCACAUCUGUUAUUGCGAAUAGCUCCAAUACCGCUUAUAAGGUUUGUAGCAACUACAUUUAUUGUUACAGAUCUUACCGAAACAAGGUUGCCACAACAAAGUUUAUUCCGUGGUCUAUUGAGAUAAAGUUCUGUGAGCCAAGUAAUUCAACCAAUUACGACAAACGUCCUGCAAGGCCAAUCAUUUAAACGGAUGCAUAAAUAAGCUUCUUCUUUAGUUAUUAUUAUUAGUUUUUUAAUUUUGUCAUCGCAGUUUGAGGUACUGGUUUAAAGGAAAACUCUCAGAUGAUGAGGCUUUGCAUAGAUGCGUUGCAGCAUACACUUCAGAUCUCAUAUUUUUAAAUGUCAGUUUGUAUCCUCACCGUGCAAAGGGCUUAAAGACGACUUCUAUUAGCUUGGAUCACUCGUAAGCAUUCUGGAACUUUAACCAUGGAAACUGACUGUUAUACAUAUUUCUAAGUGUAGUGCUUGUUUGGAUGGAUCUAGUUGAGAAAUGUGAGUUUCAUACUUUCAUUGAUUUCAUAUUUGUGAUGUAAUUACUCGAAAAACAAUCUAUCAUACAAGAUUAUCACUAAUCAAUGGAGAUGCUAAGUUUUUGGGAA